UACGGAGGGGGCUAGCGUUGUUCGGAAUUACUGGGCGUAAAGCGCGCGUAGGCGGCUUUGUAAGUCAGAGGUGAAAGCCUGGAGCUCAACUCCAGAACUGCCUUUGAGACUGCAUCGCUUGAAUCAUGGAGAGGUUAGUGGAAUUCCGAGUGUAGAGGUGAAAUUCGUAGAUAUUCGGAAGAACGCCAGUGGCGAAGGCGACUAACUGGACAUGCAUUGACGCUGAGGUGCGAAAGCGUGGGGAGCAAACAGG
This 253-nucleotide ribosomal RNA is filed under the name uncultured bacterium. RNAcentral describes it as "partial 16S ribosomal RNA". It matches the Rfam family "Bacterial small subunit ribosomal RNA", at positions 524 to 776 of the family's 1533-position model. The record is from RNAcentral.